AUGUCUGUGCAUUUUGAGGUCCGCACAUCUAGGAGUGACAGAAGCCGAGAGGGAGCCCAUCGGCGGCUCCACAGCCCGGCCUCUUACCGCGACUCCGUUGCUUUGACACGUUGCUGGGAGCAGGAAAAGACUCUCCAGGCACUCACGAUGCAGAGGAGUCCACGAGCCAUACAUCUGAAUGAAAGGAGAAGAAAGUCGAGGCCGUUUGCCAGUGAUGCCUCAGUUGCAUGCUCACAUCCCACCAGGAAGCCUGCGUACAGCAGAGGACAGACACCUCCGGGGGAAAGAAACGCUGGGCCUCCUUCCGCAAUUGUAAGUAACCAAGCUACCAGGAGGAUAGGAUGGGAGGCGGGCCUAGGAAUACAGUUUAUUAGCUCACAGAGAGCACUGAAUGCUAGAUUAAGGAAUUCGGACUUUAUUCUGCAAAUCCCUUGCGGACAGGACACCCUGUCUGUCUUAUCUAGUAAUGCUUCCACUUUGUAGAUGCUUAAUGAAUGACUAUAUUCUUUAUUAAUUAAUGCUGUUAACUUAAACGACAGAAGAAUUGUUGCGAGGUGGACCAGUUGGGAAUCACCACCUGAUCCACCCCUGUCCGGGUUUUACAGGUGAAGUAACCUAAGUAUCUUUUGCUGGAAGUGGCAAUCAGCCUGUCCGCGAGGAAAGGCAAACCGAAAACUCCCAUCUCGAGGAUGAAGGCGGUAGGGGGUAUAGAAUUGGGGAACGGGGCCAAGAAAAGCAGUUGGAUGUGUGGCUCCUCAAGAUGGCUGCCCCGAACCCCAUGACCGGGAGGAAGCGGAGCUCCGCCCCAGCGCGCCGGGCCCCACCCCACUCGGCCCCGCCCAGCGCCACCCCCCUCCGGGGGGGGGGCGGUGCGGGUUGUGAGGUGUCUCAGCGAAGCGCCUGCGCAGUGGGCAGCGGCGCGCGGGGCGGAGGCUUUAUAAUCACUUCGACGCGGCCGCUCGGCUUCUACCUCGGGGAGGGCGGCCAGGGCGGCGGCGGUCGCCGCGCCGGUUGAGGGGGCGCUGGGCGCCCCUCGCUCCUGGGCCUCUGGGGGCCAUGGGCUCCGAGAAGGACUCCGAGUCGCCGCGCUCUACAUCUCUACACGCGGCCGCGCCCGACCCCAAGUGCCGCAGCGGCGGCCGGCGCCGGCGCCUCACCUUCCACAGUGUCUUCUCCGCCUCGGCCCGCGGCCGCCGCGCCCGGGCCAAGCCGCAGGCCGAGCCGCCGCCCCCGGCCGCGCCGCCGCCGCCCGCCCCGGUCCCGGCCGCGGCCCAGGCC
This 1278-nucleotide long non-coding RNA is filed under the name Panthera leo (lion). Its description in RNAcentral is "lncRNA (ENSPLOG00000005382.1)". Lineage: Eukaryota; Metazoa; Chordata; Mammalia; Carnivora; Felidae. The record is from RNAcentral.